This is a long non-coding RNA of Oreochromis aureus, 432 nucleotides long. RefSeq lists it as uncharacterized. The transcript has 2 exons. NCBI's taxonomy places the organism in Eukaryota, Metazoa, Chordata, Actinopteri, Cichliformes, Cichlidae. The record is from RefSeq and is a predicted model, not a curated record.
AGAAAAUAUGAGUCUGUUGUUGUCAGUUGAUGUUAAACUUCUACUAAAUCCUCCUUAAACCUCACACACACUGCAAGUAUCCUCUCAUCUUAGUAAGAACUAAAAAGCAAACAUGCAUCACUCCUGCUAGGGACGAGAAAACACAGAUAAUCUAGCAGAUAUGAUUCAAACAGGCAAUUCACAAAGACACUUACUUUGCACUACAGCAGGUAUUUUCUAUUUUUGAUAAGUGAGUGUGUAUAUGUAAAUGUUGGAUUGGAUACAAUAAUGAAGGAGGACUACCUCCAAAUUCUUUAACUUCACCACAAAUCAACAGCUAGACAAUUGAAACUUUUGAAACAAUUGCAUGUUCCAACAGGACAAUGAUCCCAAACACAUAUCAAAACUAGUUUUGAAAUGGAUAAAGUAUGCUAACAUUAAGCUUCUAGAAUG